Molecule: ribosomal RNA, 565 nt
Filed under: uncultured bacterium
Lineage: Bacteria
Description: bacterial SSU rRNA
Rfam family: Bacterial small subunit ribosomal RNA
Source: RNAcentral
GAGUAACACGUGACUAACCUACCCUCGAGCGGGGAAUAACCUCGGGAAACCGGGGCUAAUACCGCAUAACAUCUUCUGGCUGAGAUGCCGGUUGAUCAAACCAGCAAUGGGCUUGAGGAGGGGGUCGCGGCUGAUUAGCUAGUUGGUGAGGUAACGGCUCACCAAGGCGAUGAUCAGUAGCCGGCCUGAGAGGGCGCACGGCCACACUGGAACUGAAACACGGUCCAGACUCCUACGGGAGGCAGCAGUGGGGAAUUUUGCGCAAUGGGGGAAACCCUGACGCAGCAACGCCGCGUGGAGGAUGAAGUCCCUUGGGACGUAAACUCCUUUCGAUCGGGACGAUAAUGACGGUACCGGAAGAAGAAGCCCCGGCUAACUUCGUGCCAGCAGCCGCGGUAAUACGAGGGGGGCAAGCGUUGUUCGGAAUUAUUGGGCGUAAAGGGCGCGUAGGCGGUGCGGUAAGUCUGAUGUGAAAUCUCCGGGCUCAACUCGGAGUCUGCAUCAGAAACUGCCGUGCUCGAGUGUGGGAGAGGUGAGUGGAAUUCCCGGUGUAGCGGUGAAAUGC